GCAUUCAUGUAGAGUCAUAUUUUGUUCUAGGUAUCGAGUUGUAGUUUUUAUUUCUUUUGAGUUAUCAGUAAAUAGAAGUGUGAUGAUCAUCGUUAUUCAUCAUUACAGCAUGUUCCAGUGAGGACAGGAUGACGGAGACUAUGAUUCCCCCACAAGUCGGGAUGAGACUCCGGACAAUGAGAGAAAAAAAUAUAAAAAGAAAA
Molecule: long non-coding RNA, 203 nt
Filed under: Hordeum vulgare
Lineage: Eukaryota; Viridiplantae; Streptophyta; Magnoliopsida; Poales; Poaceae
Description: long non-coding RNA (HVUL_LNC003840)
Source: RNAcentral